Molecule: long non-coding RNA, 1013 nt
Organism: Puntigrus tetrazona (Sumatra barb)
Lineage: Eukaryota; Metazoa; Chordata; Actinopteri; Cypriniformes; Cyprinidae
Exons: 4
Source: RefSeq, a predicted model, not a curated record
CAAAGAGCGCGAGGAAGAUGAAAAGAGCCACAUGAAAGGAUGAAGGUCCGUCCUGAAAGAGCUGUGAGGAUGAUGAGGAGAAGAGCGAGGUGUAAAUUGAUCGGGGCUGAAGAGAGACGUCAGCGGCUGCUCUUUGGGAAUCUCACCAGAGUUAAGCGUGACUGACACUGAGCCCCUUUAGUCUGACAUCGCAAAACCAAAAUCUAUCAAAAAAGGUGAGGUACUAGUUGUUGAAGAGCGACCUUUGACCCCUAAUCACUGACCCUUUAUAUCACGCCGCUGAUCCCUGCAUCGAAGCAGAUGUGUACGGAGAACGUUUUAACUGACAGAGAUGCAUCUUGGAAAUAUCUGACUCUGCGGCUGAAGUUGUUCAUUGAUUAUUGACUCACGAAACACCUGAAGACGGCCACCUCCUGAAGACCUUGUCUCCGAGCUCUCGGGUUGAUCCUGACCUGAGCCGUCGAUGGCGUGUGCAUCAGGAGCUUCAGGAGCUUCUAUAUUAAGCAGCGGGUUGUGUAUGAGUUUGUAUGACGGAGCGUGUUGAUGCCCACGCUUCGAUCGAGACACAGAUGGCGCAGUAUUUUAGUGGCUGUUGCGUUCUCUGUGUGGGUGUUGAUAUUGUACUACAUGUACAGAAUAACCCCUCCGCAGUCUUGGGUUAUGUAAAGUUUAACUGCAUCUCGCCGUCCAAAAGUUUGAGCAGCCGAUCCGACGAGAGCAGAUCAUCGAGCCAAACAACCCUGGAGAAGAGCUGGAGUAUUAAUGAUGCUUACGGUACAGAGAAACAUCAGUAUCUAGAACAUAAUUCAUUCCUGGGAUUAAACCUGAGUUUCCAGCUUCAUUCCUCCAGUCUUCAGAGUCACGUGAUCUUCAGAAAUCAGAAAAAUAUACUGAUUAACUACUUAACAAACAUUUCUGAUUAUUAUCAAAGUUCAUCAGUAUUCAUCAGUAUAGUAAAUGAUCAUAUUAUCAGUUUUUGCUGCUCAGUGUUUUCGUGGAAACUCGGAUUCAUA